Felis catus (domestic cat) is the source of this 2426-nucleotide long non-coding RNA. RefSeq lists it as uncharacterized. The transcript is spliced from 3 exons. The record is from RefSeq and is a predicted model, not a curated record. NCBI's taxonomy places the organism in Eukaryota, Metazoa, Chordata, Mammalia, Carnivora, Felidae.
UGAGGGGCUCACACUCACGAACUCAUGAACUGUGAGAUCAUGACCUGAACUGAAGUUGGAUGCUCAACCAACUGAGCCACCCAGGCACCCCGUGAGCCAUUCCAUUUUAAAUAACUGGCAGGGCGAGAAGGAAGAUGGCAUCAUACUAAGUGUGAGUUCAUUGAUUCAAGCAUUUUCCACACAAUAUGGACCCUAAAAGCAAGCCAAAUUCCAAAUCUGGUGCUUAAGCUUUGAAGCAGCAAUCGGUUCCAAACUAGCUGAGGGGGACUUACUGAGAGGUUGGCUUUAUUUUACGGAUGAUUUAAGACAUUUUCAUGUUUUAACUAUAUUCAAUUUUUGACCAAUACAUUGACUUUAGAAACUAACCCCUUUGUAUGAUACAAUUCUGCUGUACUUUGUGAACUUUUCUCAGUCACUUAACCUCCAAGCCUCAGUUUCCUUCUGUGUAAAACAGAGUUAGAGAAACUGACCUUAGAGAUCCCUGAGUUUCCUAACUAUGAGUACCCUCCAAGUGCUAUGUAUAGAAUUUACAAUUUACAGUAGUUUUUGCCACAUUCAUUCUCUCUUUUAAUCCUCAAAACUAUCCUAUAAGGCAGAUACCAUUACUUUUCCUAUUUUGUGACUGAGGAAGUUGAGGCUCAGAGAGGUUAUAAAAGUUAUUUAGGGUUACACACACAGGCAAUAGGUGGUGAAGGCAGGAUUAAAUCCCUGUGAGUCUCCACAAGGAGACUCCAGGGAAUCUCCAGGUACACUUCAAACAGUUCAGAGUGCAUGAAAGGGUAGAGGGAUGCCACAAAUCUGAGUGGGCAGGCAGGCUCUCUUGAAGGUCAGGUCUAAUUAAAAUGGAGGGAUGUAAUUUUACAUGUACCUGUUUUGGUUUACAUAUCUCAAUGCUCUUAGUCUUUUGUUCAUACACCUUAGGGACUUCUUCCCCAAGUCCAAAGUUAAAAUUCUGCUGCUAGGGCAUUCCACUCAUGGCUGGGGGAUCCUAUCCUGGAGCUGAAUGGGGUUACCCACAUCCCUGGGGGAAGAGGAAGGGCACUGGCCUAAAGCCUGCAGACCUGUCUCCUUUAUAGUCCUGGGUCUUGCUUAUUAUCCAGGGAUCCAGCUUGCCAGUUUGCAGCUUAGUUUUCUCAUCUGUAAUGUGGGCACCAUAACCCCUGUCCUGUGGGCUUUAGAUGUUAGGAACAUGAGAUGAAGUGACUGAUAGGGAGGUCCUUUGACAUGUGAAAUGCUCUCCCAUUGUGUGUGUGUGUGUGUGUGUGUGUGUGUGUGUGUGUGCGCGCACUGGGAAGGGUGGAAGUUAUCCAAGGAGUCCCCAGGAUUGUGGCCUCAGCUUGGCCUGGCAGAGCAGUGCCUUCCUGGGCGGAGGUCAAAGCCAGGUCCUUUUCCCACGGUCAACACCAAGGCCUGGUUCCUCUUUGUUGUUCCUGGCUCCUCUCCUAGCAACCAAAGUUUCAAAGAAGGUUCUGCAGAGCAAUGGGGACCUUGUCUCUUAGCUUCCUAAGAAGAGGGACCGGUUGGACUAAGAGUUCAGAUCCUGGGCAGCAGCAUUAGACCACCUUGGGCAAGUGCAGGGAGCAGCUCUGCCAGCAAGUCAAGUUCAUGGCCUAAGGCUUGACCUCAGCCUUAGCCUGAUAAUGGAAAACUCAGAGAUCAGACCUAGACCAGCUGUCUUGCUGGCUCUACACUUUGGUUAUAAUUCUGGCAAGAGGCUCCAAGAGACGCCCCUAACUGCCCCUUCCUCAAUCCUCACACCAUUCACACUGAGAGCUUCCUCUGCUCCCCGGACAGAGACUUCAGAGCCAGACCCAGGCCUUCCCUCUGGCAAUUAGAGGAAAGCUGUUCCAAGACUUCUACCUACAACUGGUGAGUGACUCUGGCCGCUCAGCCAUGAUCUCACGGCCUGAUUCAGCCACCUUCCCCGCCUGAAUUUUGGUUACUGACAGAAAUGGGGACCCAUGGGGGUAACAAUGUAAGUAAGCACAGUAUGCAAUUCACACCAUCUAUUAGCUAUGCAAUUGUGAUUCUUGAAAAAGUUUUUAUUUGGGGAGAUUCACCUCCAUUUCACAUUUUGUGCAUAAAGUAAAACUAUCGAUUCUGAAUAAGGCCUGACAUCUUAUUCCUAUAUUUCAAAUUCAUAUAAAAUAUAACCUUACUGUGCUUUCCCAGGAAACUCUGCUGUGUCUUCAACUUUCUCCCCAGUUGGACUAAAUUAUCCAGGUCAGGCUGGCAGUGUUCCAAUCCUAGAGAGGAAGCAUUCUGGCAACUCAGGACCUCUUCUGAAUGAUACUAUCCUAUUACAAGUCCAAGGUAGUCCUUUCUCCUUCCAUGAUUUUGCUCCCUGAAUUCUACCCUGAUCUUCUCGUCCUUCUCCUUCUUAAUUUACCACCUCCAGAGGCUUCCUUAGUCCUUAGUCAAUAAAU